GAUAGAGGCGCGGGAUGCAUCAGUACUCUCCUUGCUGUUGGGAUUGCAAGAGGAGGAAAGGGCUGACCGCCGAGGAGCCGGGACUGCAAACCCAUGCGGGCCGGUAUCCGGGGCAAGGGAGAAGAUCUCUUGCACUGUCGCCCGAAAGGGCGGAGAGCUGUCAG
Molecule: non-coding RNA, 164 nt
Filed under: bovine gut metagenome
Description: Lysine riboswitch
Rfam family: Lysine riboswitch aptamer
About the family: Riboswitches are metabolite binding domains within certain messenger RNAs that serve as precision sensors for their corresponding targets. Allosteric rearrangement of mRNA structure is mediated by ligand binding, and this results in modulation of gene expression.
Source: RNAcentral